RNAcentral lists this ribosomal RNA (433 nucleotides) under uncultured bacterium. RNAcentral describes it as "partial 16S ribosomal RNA". It matches the Rfam family "Bacterial small subunit ribosomal RNA", at positions 29 to 507 of the family's 1533-position model. The record is from RNAcentral.
AACGAACGCUUGCGGCAUGCCUAACACAUGCAAGUCGAACGAGACCUUCGGGUCUAGUGGCGCACGGGUGCGUAACGCGUGGGAACCUGCCCUUAGGUUCGGAAUAACUCCCCGAAAGGGGUGCUAAUACCGGAUAAUGUCUUCGGACCAAAGAUUUAUCGCCUUUGGAUGGGCCCGCGUUGGAUUAGCUAGUUGGUAGGGUAAAAGCCUACCAAGGCGACGAUCCAUAGCUGGUCUGAGAGGAUGAUCAGCCACACUGGGACUGAGACACGGCCCAGACUCCUACGGGAGGCAGCAGUGGGGAAUAUUGGACAAUGGGCGAAAGCCUGAUCCAGCAAUGCCGCGUGAGUGAUGAAGGCCUUAGGGUUGUAAAGCUCUUUUACCCGGGAUGAUAAUGACAGUACUGGGAGAAUAAGCUCCGGCUAACUCCGUG